Magallana angulata is the source of this 358-nucleotide long non-coding RNA. RefSeq lists it as uncharacterized. NCBI's taxonomy places the organism in Eukaryota, Metazoa, Mollusca, Bivalvia, Ostreida, Ostreidae. The transcript has 3 exons. The record is from RefSeq and is a predicted model, not a curated record.
CGAAGGGUAACACGCAUGCGCGGGUUAAAACGGAAGUUUACAUUCUAUCUGGAUCAUAUAAGCGCUUGAAAACAUACAGAUAUCAAGGACGAUCAAUGUCGCGUAAAAAGAUAAAGUGUGGAAAACAGUAAACAAACAAAAAAAUGGAUGUACGUGCUUUAGCAUAUUGAAAACCAUGUCAAGAAAAGAUCGAAAAAGAGUUAAUCCCAUUGAAGAGUCAAGGAAAUGGAGUGAAAAGAAUAUUGAUCCACCAGGAUUUAAUAGAAGUUUAUUUGAGAACAAAGGCAGAGGAGUCAGAACAACUGUCCGCAGAAAUGCAGGCGACUUUUUGUUAGUGUAUACAGGAAAGGUUAUAACA